This 418-nucleotide ribosomal RNA is filed under the name Salmonella enterica subsp. enterica serovar Typhimurium. RNAcentral describes it as "partial 23S ribosomal RNA". It matches the Rfam family "Bacterial large subunit ribosomal RNA", at positions 137 to 589 of the family's 2925-position model. The record is from RNAcentral. Lineage: Bacteria; Pseudomonadati; Pseudomonadota; Gammaproteobacteria; Enterobacterales; Enterobacteriaceae.
GAUUCGUCACACUAUCAUUAACUGAAUCCAUAGGUUAAUGAGGCGAACCGGGGGAACUGAAACAUCUAAGUACCCCGAGGAAAAGAAAUCAACCGAGAUUCCCCCAGUAGCGGCGAGCGAACGGGGAGGAGCCCAGAGCCUGAAUCAGCAUGUGUGUUAGUGGAAGCGUCUGGAAAGGCGCGCGAUACAGGGUGACAGCCCCGUACACAAAAGCGCAUGUGCUGUGAGCUCGAUGAGUAGGGCGGGACACGUGGUAUCCUGUCUGAAUAUGGGGGGACCAUCCUCCAAGGCUAAAUACUCCUGACUGACCGAUAGUGAACCAGUACCGUGAGGGAAAGGCGAAAAGAACCCCGGCGAGGGGAGUGAAAAAGAACCUGAAACCGUGUACGUACAAGCAGUGGGAGCCCCACCACUAAGC